Molecule: non-coding RNA, 136 nt
Organism: Micromonospora rifamycinica
Lineage: Bacteria; Bacillati; Actinomycetota; Actinomycetes; Micromonosporales; Micromonosporaceae
Source: Rfam
ACCUCAUCCAGAGGGGCUGAGGGAUACGGCCCGACGACGCCCCGGCAACCACCCCACGCGCUCAUCGCUGAGCGUCCCGUGGGGCAGGUGCCAAUUCCGUCCCCGCCGCAGGGUGCGAUGUGGGGAAAGAUGAGAG